GAUGAACGCUGGCGGCGUGCCUAAUACAUGCAAGUCGAGCGAACAGACGAGGAGCUUGCUCCUCUGACGUUAGCGGCGGACGGGUGAGUAACACGUGGAUAACCUACCUAUAAGACUGGGAUAACUUCGGGAAACCGGAGCUAAUACCGGAUAAUAUAUUGAACCGCAUGGUUCAAUAGUGAAAGACGGUUUUGCUGUCACUUAUAGAUGGAUCCGCGCCGCAUUAGCUAGUUGGUAAGGUAACGGCUUACCAAGGCGACGAUGCGUAGCCGACCUGAGAGGGUGAUCGGCCACACUGGAACUGAGAAACGGUCCAGACUCCUACGGGAGGCAGCAGUAGGGAAUCUUCCGCAAUGGGCGAAAGCCUGACGGAGCAAAGCCGCGUGAGUGAUGAAGGUCUUCGGAUCGGAAAACUCUGUUAUUAGGGAAGAACAAAUGUGUAAGUAACUAUGAACGUCUUGACGGUACCUAAUCAGAAAGCCACGGCUAACUACGUG
This 497-nucleotide ribosomal RNA is filed under the name uncultured bacterium. RNAcentral describes it as "partial 16S ribosomal RNA". It matches the Rfam family "Bacterial small subunit ribosomal RNA", at positions 28 to 507 of the family's 1533-position model. The record is from RNAcentral.